CUGAAUGAUUUGAUGGUGUCAAUUUGUCAAAUAGCAUAAAACUAAAGGAUUUAAACUUUUAUUUGAUAGAAUUUCUGCAAAAAUGACCAAUUUUGGCAUUAUAUGGUCAAAAUAAGCAUUUCAUAGCUUUUUCAAUGUUGAUGCAUAAGUGGCAUUUUGACUUUCUAUCUGACAUGUUUUCAUGUGUCAAUUUUUGUGUUUCUAUGCUUUAAUCCAGUUUUAUUACUCAUUUGUGAACUCUGAAUCUACAGAGAAGAAGAUUAUCUCAGACAAUAUGAGCAAAAUGUGUUGUAUAAAUGACCCUCGUCUAACGCCCUGUUUGGAUCAAGUUAAAUGUGAGGAGCAUGGCACAUAAAAGUUGAAGUCCAUGAUAAAGCCCUCACUAAAUUUGUAUAAAAAGCAC
Molecule: long non-coding RNA, 403 nt
Filed under: Mytilus galloprovincialis (Mediterranean mussel)
Lineage: Eukaryota; Metazoa; Mollusca; Bivalvia; Mytilida; Mytilidae
Source: RNAcentral